RNAcentral lists this ribosomal RNA (503 nucleotides) under uncultured bacterium. RNAcentral describes it as "partial 16S ribosomal RNA". It matches the Rfam family "Bacterial small subunit ribosomal RNA", at positions 30 to 523 of the family's 1533-position model. The record is from RNAcentral.
AUUGAACGCUGGCGGCACGCCUAACACAUGCAAGUCGAGCGGCAGCGAGAUCAGUAGCAAUACUGAUUGUCGGCGAGCGGCGGACGGGUGAGUAAUCCGUAGGAACCUGCCCAGCAGUGGGGGAUAACUAAUGGAAACGUUAGCUAAUAACGCGUACUUUCGGGAGAAUAAAGCUGCCGGUACCGGUGGCGCUUUUGGAGGGGCAUGGGUCCGAUUAGCUAGUUGGUGAGGUAAUGGCUCACCAAGGCGAUGAUCGGUAACUGGUCUGAGAGGACGACCAGUCACACUGGGACUGAGACACUGCCGAGACUCCUACGGGAGGCAGCAGUGGGGAAUCUUGUACAAUGGGGGCAACCCUGAUCCAGCGAUGCCGCGUGAGUGAAGAAGGCCCUCGGGUCGUAAAGCUCUUUAGGCUGGGAAGAAGUGUGGAAGAGGAAAUGCUUUUACAUUGACUGUACCAGCAGAAUAAGCACCGGCAAACUCUGUGCCAGCAGCCGCAGUAA